CCGUCGCUCUGCUACCGUCAGCUGCUGUUUCAACAAAAACGCCAUUCAGGGUGAAAAUUCAACCAUGGUGUUGUGUCAGGAGAUGCAGUGAUUUAACAAGGGAAGACAGAGGAGGAGGCAUUAGGUGGUCAUAACCAUAUUCAUCAGAGGACAGCAAAGAAGAAGAAGAGUAGGAGAGCAAGAAAAUAAAUUCCUUUUAUAUUCCCCCUUA
Long non-coding RNA from Micropterus dolomieu (smallmouth bass), 211 nucleotides. RefSeq lists it as uncharacterized. Lineage: Eukaryota; Metazoa; Chordata; Actinopteri; Centrarchiformes; Centrarchidae. The transcript is spliced from 2 exons. The record is from RefSeq and is a predicted model, not a curated record.